Otolemur garnettii (small-eared galago) is the source of this 105-nucleotide microRNA precursor. NCBI's taxonomy places the organism in Eukaryota, Metazoa, Chordata, Mammalia, Primates, Galagidae. The record is from Ensembl.
AGAAGGAUUGCCUAGCAGUAGCUAUUUAGUGUGAUAAUGGCGUUUGAUAGCUUGGACACAAACACCAUUGUCACACUCCACAGCUCUGCUAAGGAAACUCUGUAG